RNAcentral lists this ribosomal RNA (253 nucleotides) under uncultured bacterium. RNAcentral's name for it is "partial 16S ribosomal RNA". It matches the Rfam family "Bacterial small subunit ribosomal RNA", at positions 524 to 776 of the family's 1533-position model. The record is from RNAcentral.
UACGUAGGGUGCAAGCGUUGUCCGGAAUUAUUGGGCGUAAAGAGCUCGUAGGCGGUUUGUCGCGUCUGCUGUGAAAACUCGGGGCUUAACCCCGGGCCUGCAGUGGGUACGGGCAGACUAGAGUGCGGUAGGGGAGAUUGGAAUUCCUGGUGUAGCGGUGGAAUGCGCAGAUAUCAGGAGGAACACCGAUGGCGAAGGCAGAUCUCUGGGCCGUAACUGACGCUGAGGAGCGAAAGCAUGGGGAGCGAACAGG